Molecule: RNase P RNA, 409 nt
Filed under: Amycolatopsis sp. YIM 10
Lineage: Bacteria; Bacillati; Actinomycetota; Actinomycetes; Pseudonocardiales; Pseudonocardiaceae
Description: Bacterial RNase P class A
Rfam family: Bacterial RNase P class A
About the family: Ribonuclease P (RNase P) is a ubiquitous endoribonuclease, found in archaea, bacteria and eukarya as well as chloroplasts and mitochondria. Its best characterised activity is the generation of mature 5'-ends of tRNAs by cleaving the 5'-leader elements of precursor-tRNAs. Cellular RNase Ps are ribonucleoproteins.
Source: Rfam by way of RNAcentral
CGAGCUGGCAGGGCGGUCGCGUGACCCGGUCCCCUCGGGGAGCGGGUUUCGAGGAAAGUCCGGACUCCGCAGGGCAGGGUGGUUGCUAACGGCAACCCGGGGUGACCCGCGGGACAGUGCCACAGAAAACAGACCGCCCAGCCGUUCGCGGCUGGGUAAGGGUGAAACGGUGGUGUAAGAGACCACCAGCGUCCCGGGUGACCGGGACGGCUCGGUAAACCCCACCCGGAGCAAGGCCAAGAGGGAGCGCGAGCUCCUGCGCAGGCGAUCGAGGGCGGCCCGCCCGAUGCCUGCGGGUAGGCCGCUGGAGCCUGCCGGCGACGGCAGGCCGAGAUGGAUGGCCGCCCACCGCGGCCCCGGUCCGCCGGGGUCGUGGGGACAGGAUCCGGCUUACAUGCCAGCUCGUCCU